RNAcentral lists this ribosomal RNA (1438 nucleotides) under uncultured bacterium. RNAcentral describes it as "bacterial SSU rRNA". It matches the Rfam family "Bacterial small subunit ribosomal RNA". The record is from RNAcentral.
GGGUUUGAUCAUGGCUCAGAACGUACGCUGGCGGCACGCCUAACACAUGCAAGUCGAACGAAGUAGCAAUACUUAGUGGCAGACGGGUGAGUAACAUGUAGGUAUCUACCCUUUGGCCUGGAAUAACACGAGGAAACUUGUGCUAAUACCGGAUAAGUCUUUACGGAGAAAGCUUUAUGCACCAUUGGAUGAGCCUGCACUUGAUUAGUUUGUUGGUGGGGUAAUGGCCUACCAAGACUGUGAUCAAUAGCUGAUUUGAGAGGAUGAUCAGCCACAUUGGGACUGAGACACGGCCCAAACUCCUACGGGAGGCAGCAGUGGGGAAUCUUGCACAAUGGAGGAAACUCUGAUGCAGCGAUGCCGCGUGAGUGAAGAAGGCCCUUGGGUUGUAAAGCUCUUUCGUCGGGGAAGAAAAUGACUGUACCCGAAUAAGAAGGUCCGGCUAACUUCGUGCCAGCAGCCGCGGUAAUACGAAGGGACCUAGCGUAGUUCGGAAUUACUGGGCUUAAAGAGUUCGUAGGUGGUUGAAAAAGUUAGUGGUGAAAUCCCAGAGCUUAACUCUGGAACUGCCAUUAAAACUUUUCAGCUAGAGUAUGAUAGAGGAAAGCAGAAUUUCUAGUGUAGAGGUGAAAUUCGUAGAUAUUAGAAAGAAUACCAAUUGCGAAGGCAGCUUUCUGGAUCAUUACUGACACUGAGGAACGAAAGCAUGGGUAGCGAAGAGGAUUAGAUACCCUCGUAGUCCAUGCCGUAAACGAUGUGUGUUAGACGUUGGAAAUUUAUUUUCAGUGUCGCAGCGAAAGCGAUAAACACACCGCCUGGGGAGUACGACCGCAAGGUUAAAACUCAAAUGAAUUGACGGGGACCCGCACAAGUAGUGGAGCAUGUGGUUUAAUUCGAAGAUACGCGCAGAACCUUACCAACACUUGACAUGUUCGUCGCGACUCUAAGAGAUUAGAGUUUUCGGUUCGGCCGGACGAAACACAGGUGCUGCAUGGCUGUCGUCAGCUCGUGUCGUGAGAUGUUGGGUUAAGUCCCGCAACGAGCGCAACCCUCACUUUUAGUUGCCAUCAUUUAGUUGGGCACUCUGAAAGAACUGCCAGUGAUAAGCUGGAGGAAGGUGGGGAUGACGUCAAGUCCUCAUGGCCCUUACGUGUUGGGCUACACACGUGCUACAAUGGUAUCUACAACAGGAAGCAAGACUGCGAGGUCAAGCAAAUCCUUAAAAGAUACCUCAGUUCGGAUUGCACUCUGCAACUCGAGUGCAUGAAGCUGGAAUUACUAGUAAUCGUGGAUCAGCGUGCCACGGUGAAUGCGUUCCCGGGUCUUGUACACACCGCCCGUCACACCAUGGGAGUUGGUUCUACCUUAAGGCAAGGUUUAAAACCCUUGACCACGGUAUAGUCAGCGACUGGGGUGAAGUCGUAACAAGGUAACCGUA